Molecule: long non-coding RNA, 6265 nt
Organism: Oncorhynchus tshawytscha (Chinook salmon)
Lineage: Eukaryota; Metazoa; Chordata; Actinopteri; Salmoniformes; Salmonidae
Source: Ensembl
UAUCCCUGUUCCCUCCAGUGGAAGGACUCUUCUGUUCCCUGUCCAGUCCUGUCAGGUCCUUAUGGCAGUAGAUUAACAGUAUCUGUGUAUAUGUUGCCUGUGGUGUGUGUCAGCUUGGCCUGGGUUCACCAUGGACACAAUCCCCCUUCCGUGUGUGUGUGGCGGUGUGCUGUCAGCUUGGCCUGGGGUCUGUGACACGAGUCCCCCUCCGGCAGGACAAGAGGCCUCUCCACAGGGUCAGCUGCUGGCCCUAAAGACGCCCAGUCACCCGUGACUUAAUGCCCCCGGGCGCUAUUGUCCCCAGGGCCUGUUGCUUUUACAGACCCAUUCACUCAAUUGCCCCCAAGAGGAGGGGCACAAGGCCUGGCGACUUGCCUUCUGCUGGGGCAGCAUCAACAGUACAGACAAACGCGCACGCAAAUAUCCACUAGAUCAAUCUGUUUCUUGUCUGGGCAGGACUUGAGCUAUUGUUGCUUUCAGAUGGUCUGGACUGGCUUGAGACAUGUCAAAGGCUUACUGCCUCUUAAUUGGUUGUUGGCAUCAGCCUGUAAAGCCUUGUGUUUACUGAGUGUAUUGUUUUGGUCCUGCACAGGGCACUCCUUAUUGACUUAGCUUGGCCACACAUGCACCUGUUGGGUAUCAGUACAGACAUGUGUACUAUACAGACGUGUGUACUAUACAGACGUGUGUACUAUACAGUGUAUUGACAGGAAUCUAUUUUAGUAGUACUGUAGCACAUCAAUCAAUGGGUAAAGCAUUUAUUGAUUUUAGAGAAGUAUGUUUUACUUCAAAUAUAUAUAUACUGUUUCAAGUCAUUAUGUUGUACAGUGCUCAAACUUUGCUGUGUGAAUUGGUGUUCAAUGCAGAGAGGGUCCCUCCCCCUCCUGUAUUUCCCCUACACACACACACACACACACACACACACACACACACACACACAUACUGCCACUGCCAGCCUUUGUGUAUGCCAGACAGCAGAUGGCAGCCAUUAUAGCACUGACAGGGCAGUCAUCUGGCAGGCACCCUGUUGGUGUCCUGCUGAACACACAGCACCACUGAGGGGAUGAGACACUUUAGGCGGGAAAACCAAAUUGUGUGUGUGUGUUUUGGUCCCUUUCUGCUGUAAAUAGGUCCUAGGUCUCCAGUUCCCCCGUGUAUGUUAGUGCUGUGAGGUUAAACAGGCUCACUAAUGAACAGCGGUACCUAACUGGUAUACUAGAGGAGCCUGCUGCCUGACUACACUUUUAGCAACAAACAACAGAUUCACAAUGAGGGGCGAUACAAUACAUUGGACUGGGUUGGUCUGUGUGGUUUGCGUUUCUUUCUGGGUGUAUCUGAGGUGUAACUUGUGUGUGUGUGUGUGUGUGUGUGUGUGUGUGUGUGUGUGUGUGUGUGUGUGUGUGUGUGUGUGUGUGUGUGUGUGUGUGUGUGUGUGUGUGUGUGUGUGUGUGUGUGUGUGUGUGUGUGUGUGUGCUUAGUCAAGGUUUCCUGGUUGAAUGGGCAUGGAAGACAGUGUAUGAGGGGUACAGACUGUGUUCACUGGGGGUGGGGCAGGGCUCAGCACUCUCCUGCAUAGCAUCUGCUGCUCCACAGGUGAGGAGGGGAAAGAACAGGUGUCAGGCAGGUGAACAUCCCCCCUCUACACACACACCAGCCCUCUGGACCUCUAGCCUCUAUGAGAGUAGGGCCUCUGUCACUCUGUGUGUAGCUGUCACUGUCCCCACUGGAUGUCAACCACAAUAAUCCACAUAGCAAGGCUUUAUUCCAGGAGUUAGAGAGAGGCAGAGUUUGACCCUGGAUUAGAGAUAAUUAAAGCACUGAUUGAAUGAAUGAAUGGAUGAAGGAGAGUAGAGAGAGGAGAGGCCAGUCAGAGGGGGAAAGCUUCUCCUCUCUCAGAGGCGCUAAGCCUUUCUCAGCAGAUGGCUGUGGCGGCCAGGCCUCCAGCAUCAAACAUCCUAUAUCACAUACUAAGAAAUCAGGAAGAUGUGCGAAGGAACACCAAGAUGUUGGAAAACUGUUCAGACACUAUUUCUGCUUCCAUCUUCAACAACACAGAGGUUCAGACUGACCAUGCAACUAGUCAUAAAUUACAGGACGGCUUUUGGCUUUGGUGUUUUUUUUUAAACGCUUACCUUUUUAACCAGCAUUCCCUGUAGUUCGCAUUACUGCUUGCUAGUGCCAUAAUCUCACAUAUCAGGCGGGGAUAUGGUCCUUGUUAGAAUAGAUCUGAUCUAAGUUUAUCAAUGGACACAUCACUGGGCUGGUGGAUGUGGUGUCUAAAUCUAAUAGAGGUCAAGGUUAGGAUUAGGAUUAGAGAGUUGGAGCUUUAGUCCUUCCAAAGGAUACAUUCCACAGCGUUGCCCUUUCAAAGGAUACAUUCUACAGCGUACUCCAGUCGUGGCCAUGCUGGGAGGUACCACUGAAGACUGUGUUGAGCCCAGAGAGAGAGAGCUGUUUUACCAUUGCCUGGGCAACCUUCACAAUAAUGAUGCCAUUUCCUUUGGCAGUGCCUUUCAACACGCCUCAAUCACACAUCCUCUCACUUCGCAGGGCUUUUUUCAGUUCCGUUGAAUGGAAGACUCUUGCCGUGGUACAUGCUGUAGUGGAAUAUGUUACUAACUAGAAUUAAGGGAUAUCAGCCGCAAGUACGGGUUUGAUUAUUUUUUAUGAAAAAUACAUUCUUGGCUGAUGUUGGGUUUAACACAAAUGAAAUUGAACAAUUUAUAGUCAAAAGGAAAUAUAUCAAUGAUUUAGUGCUGCUCUGGAACGUCAUAGUUGCAGAGAAUACAGCCUAAUAUGGAUGACAACAUGGAACAGAAAGCUCAGGCAGACUCAUGGAACAGAAAGCUCAAGCAGACUCAUGGAACAUUAUUUGGCUGAAGUAAACACAGUUAGCUUCAUAAAAUAUAGUCAUAAAUCUGAUCCCCCUAUUCAACCCUUCAAUUUACGGCUUGCUUAAUGUCACAUCUUAAUCCCGGAAAAUGUAUAUACGGUACACCAUUGAUAUUUCUUAAACACUUUACAGAGGAGGCAGGGAAGUAGUUACCCUCACUCCAGCUCUCCAAUGAUGCAGCCAGCAGUUCAGUCAUAGACUAGCAUUAGUGAUGUAACUAUGGCAACCCUACCUGGCCCCAUUGGGGGUGGGCACAAAAUGUAGUCACUUUUCGCUAUACCCAAUCUCCUCCUCUCUCCUCCCUCCUUUCCCCUCUUGUGCCUGUUUCUCUCCCCACACACCACCGUCCAUCGUAGCAUCUUAGUCGGCCAUGUAGCCCGUGUUGCUGGACCCAUGACAAUCACUCCUCCGACGGUGCUUGGAUAGGAUCCUGUGGAGGAAACUUGGGGAGCUGUGUGCCUGUGGCUGGGGUUGGGGCAGGGGCUGGGGCAGCCUGUUAGGGAGAGAGAUCUGGGACUUCAGUAUCAGGAUGGGGCCCUCUCUCUCCCCCUCGGCCCCCUCCGGCCCCCCUCCUGCCGCUGCUCUGCUGGCUCUGCGGAGGGCCUGCAGCCUGAGUGCGCUGGAGAACAAAGAAGACACAACAAACACAAAGGACAUGUUUAUUCCCGCUGACCCAAAUUCCAGCGCUCAGCGCAGACAAGACAAGCGCAGGGCUGUUCAGGGGGCUCGCUCUGGUGUGUGUGUGUGUGUGUGUGUGUGCGUGCGUGCGUGUGUGUGUGUGUGUGUGUGUGUGUGCAGGCUGUUGCAGCUCAAGGAGCUACGUUCACCUCUACACACAUUAGGAGGGGCCUAAGUCACACGGCACAACUAAAAUGUAUAAUCUUGGAUCAUCUCUAAAACAACAUCCAACUACUGUUUACAUUUCCACGUUCACUGAGGGCACUUCAGUCAGAUUAUACAGACAGUUCUGUUCCACUGUUUGACAUUAUGAAACACAAUAUUUUUUGAGGGAAAGAGGGAGCCCUCAUCUACUCCCCUGAACACAGGUCUGUGACUGUGAGCCCCCACUGUGUGAGGGAGCAGCAGUGCAGUGAGUGGGAAUUGAUCAGGGAGGGAGGGGUGGGGGGUAAUCUGUGUGCUUUGUCAACUAAUGAGGGAUGAGAGGGGCCACCUGUUCAGGGUGCGCUGGGCGGAGGGGAACUGGAGGAGGUGGAGGCAGUGAGGGGUGUGUGUGUGUGGGGAGCAGCUGCUGGGGUGUGUGUAUGAGUUGUGUACACGCACUUGUGGAGGGGGGUUUGAUUGAGGAUAGUGUGUGUUUGUGUCUUUCUGAGUGUGUAUCUGUGUGUGUGUUUUGGGCGCGUUGCUCUCACCCAGUACCACCUGCAUACGUGGCCGGAGCUGAACCCCGUCUCGCUAAGCGGUGGACGUCUUUAGCUGGCUCAUCGUCCUAACAACACAAACAGAGGUGUGUCAAUGACAGGGUGGGAUUACUGCUGGGACUGUUCUGUAUUGCUAUCCCUCUGUCCUGUCAAAAACUCAGGUAUGCUAUUCUAACCAGACAUACUUCUCUGUAAAUCAGCAGAGCUAUUCUUUAUGAAUAGUAGGGGUGGGCAAUCUUAUAUCUGCGAGCAGUGCAAGGGCAUACGAGGUGUGUAUGCAGGCUUUUGUUCCAGCCAAGCACCAACACGAUUGAUUUAACUAAUUCAAGUCUUGAUUGAUGACUAUAAAUAGAAUAGAGUAGAAAUAGAGCCUUGUUACACACAGAGACGGAAUGUUGCUUUUGCCUAGCAUAAGACAAUUUCCACUAGCCACUAACCUGGUGGCUCAGCUCCACAACAUGCGAGGCCGGGAAGUAUCCCUGCUGUCCGUUUUGCAGCCGCCCAAACCACCGGGCCUCAUCAUCUUUACACAGAACCAGGAUGAACUCCCCCCGGGUCAGCGCCAGCUCAUCUGGCCAGUGGGGCUUGUAGCUGCGCUUUACCACCAUCUAGUGGAUUAAUCGAGAAAUGCAACUUCAAUACAUUUUAUAUGUAACAAGACAGAUGCAGUAUUUGAGCACAUGCAGCGGUGUUCCUUAUGUCUGUCACAGUAUAUGCUUGUCUAUGCAGUAAGUUUAUAUGAUAUAUCAUGACAUGUCCAAUUCAUUGUUCCAUUCCUCAGCUCAUUCACAUUGAGUCUAUGCCUGAAUGAAUGAAGAGGAUUAGGUGGCUGGCUAAAACUCUAUGGAUUACCUGGCUCACAGUUAUAAAGAAACCCAAUCACCUGCUGUUCUCCAUGAUCUGUUCUCUUUAGUCUCAUGGUAAUGAAUGACAUAACAGACAGCAUCUAAUUUGAACUAACUAAUGCAAUUGUCUCUACAGACAAGUGUAGCUGGAGACACAAAAACAAUCUACAUUAGAUGUCUCAUGCUUGCAUGAACAGAAUCCAGGGGAUAUGAGGGUGAAUUGCGGAGCAAAUCUACCAAUUGUAUCAACAAGUUGAAUUCAUCCAAGCAUAUUUUCAUUCAACAUAGUUAAUAAAUAUUGAGGAUCUGAGAGUGAGCAUUAACAGGAAAAUAACUUGCCUGGUCAGCCUCUGCCUGUCUGAAUUGGCAUCGUCCCCGGUGAACUGGUAAACAAGGAGAGAUGAAUCAGCAAAAAAUAGCUCCCAUCACAAAGAACUAUAGCAAAGCAUCAGGGGAGGAAAAGUUGGUGGAAAAAAGAACAACAUGAUUCUAGAUGUAUUUCAGUCUGCCAUCAAUACCCAGGGACCAUACAGUAUGCAAAAUAAACAACUGCAGUAUACACUACAAAUCAAAUGGAAUGGAAUUUUAAUCAUCAUUGAAAAGUCAAUAUCAUGAAUCUUAAUAAUUACAAUAAUGUGCUAAUAAUUACAAUAAUGUGCUAAUUAUGUGCUGCACACACACAAGUUAAGCGCCGCACUUUCAAAAAAAGAUGGCAGUUUUGAAACUGCAGUAACAGUGCAGUAACUACAGUCAACUGUGUUACUUUGGAUGCAGUAAUUGCAGCAUCUUUUUUUCAGAAGGGUGUAUUUCCUUGCCAAGCUUCUCCCAUCUAGCCCACUGCAGAUACCCAUAUACAUUUAUAGAUAUAUACACACACACACACAUAUCUAUAUCUCUAUCUAUAUAUGCAUAGUGAUGUAAGCAGCAACUUGCUACUGUGCUACUCACCUUGUGGGGAGAGGACAGUGGUAAAGACUUCAAAGUGCUCAUUCUGCUGCCUGUAGAUGUUGCUCUGCAUGCUGACUGAAUGACUUAGGACCUAAGUCAUACACACUGACUAACUGACUAAGCAACCCAGUCUCUCAUUAACUAUGUACUCUAUGUACAACUAGGCAGUUAUGCACUGAUGUGUCUGCACCCUCUCUCUG